UGGGGAAUUUUGGACAAUGGGCGAAAGCCUGAUCCAGCAAUGCCGCGUGUGUGAAGAAGGCCUUCGGGUUGUAAAGCACUUUUGUCCGGAAAGAAAUCCUUGGCUCUAAUACAGUCGGGGGAUGACGGUACCGGAAGAAUAAGCACCGGCUAACUACGUGCCAGCAGCCGCGGUAAUACGUAGGGUGCAAGCGUUAAUCGGAAUUACUGGGCGUAAAGCGUGCGCAGGCGGUUUGCUAAGACCGAUGUGAAAUCCCCGGGCUCAACCUGGGAACUGCAUUGGUGACUGGCAGGCUAAAGUAUGGCAGAGGGGGGUAGAAUUCCACGUGUAGCAGUGAAAUGCGUAGAGAUGUGGAGGAAUACCGAUGGCGAAGGCAGCCCCCUGGGCCAAUACUGACGCUCAUGCACGAAAGCGUGGGGAGCAAACAGGAUUAGAUACCCUGGUAGUCCACGCCCUAAACGAUGUCAACUAGUUGUUGGGGAUUCAUUUCCUUAGUAACGUAGCUAACGCGUGAAGUUGACCGCCUGGGGAGUACGGUCGC
RNAcentral lists this ribosomal RNA (541 nucleotides) under uncultured bacterium. Its description in RNAcentral is "partial 16S ribosomal RNA". It matches the Rfam family "Bacterial small subunit ribosomal RNA", at positions 355 to 889 of the family's 1533-position model. The record is from RNAcentral.